This 382-nucleotide long non-coding RNA is filed under the name Androctonus crassicauda. Lineage: Eukaryota; Metazoa; Arthropoda; Arachnida; Scorpiones; Buthidae. The record is from RNAcentral.
UUAGUUGCCAAAUUGUUAUUUUACCCGAGGCUGCAUUAUUUUUACUUCUUGUAUAUUUGGUACUUUUAAAUUUUACCAGGACAAAAUGACAAUCUGGCUGGGACAUAGGGACCGCAUCAUCAAAUUUGGGACAGUCCUGGUCAAAGCAAGAUGUCUGGUAAGUCUAAAUAUAUCUCCAGCCACUGAACCAAUUUUGAUUUUGUAUAGUCUAUAUUCCCACAAGGCCAUAGGAAGUCAGCCUGAAAAGUUAGAUCCUAAUAGGUCAAAUAUUAUAGAAGUCUAUGUAAUAAAUAAUCUAAUCAGCACGGGCUCUCCUGGUGGUCAAGUUUUGUAGUAACUGCCUAUUGAUGAUUAAUAUUUUAAUUUUAUACUACGAUGCCAC